CACGGGGGGAGCAAGCGUUGUUCGGAAUCACUGGGCGUAAAGGGCGCGUAGGCGGCAUGGCAAGUGGAUGGUGAAAUCCCUCGGCUUAACCGAGGAACUGCCGUCCAAACUGCUUCGCUUGAGACCGGGAGAGGUGAGUGGAAUUCCCAGUGUAGCGGUGAAAUGCGUAGAUAUUGGGAGGAACACCAGUGGCGAAGGCGGCUCACUGGACCGGUACUGACGCUGAUGCGCGAAAGCGUGGGGAGCAAACGGG
RNAcentral lists this ribosomal RNA (253 nucleotides) under uncultured bacterium. RNAcentral describes it as "partial 16S ribosomal RNA". It matches the Rfam family "Bacterial small subunit ribosomal RNA", at positions 524 to 776 of the family's 1533-position model. The record is from RNAcentral.